This 429-nucleotide ribosomal RNA is filed under the name Chloroflexota bacterium. RNAcentral's name for it is "Chloroflexi bacterium partial 16S ribosomal RNA". It matches the Rfam family "Bacterial small subunit ribosomal RNA", at positions 355 to 776 of the family's 1533-position model. Lineage: Bacteria; Bacillati; Chloroflexota. The record is from RNAcentral.
UGGGGAAUAUUGCACAAUGGGCGCAAGCCUGAUGCAGCCAUGCCGCGUGUGUGAAGAAGGCCUUCGGGUUGUAAAGCACUUUCAGCGGGGAGGAAGGCGGUGAGGUUAAUAACCUCACCGAUUGACGUUACCCGCAGAAGAAGCACCGGCUAACUCCGUGCCAGCAGCCGCGGUAAUACGGAGGGUGCAAGCGUUAAUCGGAAUUACUGGGCGUAAAGCGCACGCAGGCGGUCUGUCAAGUCGGAUGUGAAAUCCCCGGGCUCAACCUGGGAACUGCAUUCGAAACUGGCAGGCUAGAGUCUUGUAGAGGGGGGUAGAAUUCCAGGUGUAGCGGUGAAAUGCGUAGAGAUCUGGAGGAAUACCGGUGGCGAAGGCGGCCCCCUGGACGAAGACUGACGCUCAGGUGCGAAAGCGGGGGGAGCAAACAGG